Non-coding RNA from Brassica rapa (field mustard), 99 nucleotides. The record is from Rfam. NCBI's taxonomy places the organism in Eukaryota, Viridiplantae, Streptophyta, Magnoliopsida, Brassicales, Brassicaceae.
UUAAGUGGCUAUGAUGAUAACAUUAUUAUCCCAGCUCAUUAUGAGGCCUUUUGUGGCCAAGGAAAAUAACUGUUUUCUUAACAUUUUCUGAGCUCUUAA